Molecule: ribosomal RNA, 354 nt
Filed under: Triticum aestivum (bread wheat)
Lineage: Eukaryota; Viridiplantae; Streptophyta; Magnoliopsida; Poales; Poaceae
Description: partial small subunit ribosomal RNA
Source: RNAcentral
AUGGCGGGUGCAACAUCUCAGGGAGAACCAAGUCGUCGUAAUGGCAUCUCUAUCCAGAACAAUUCAGUUGGUGCACGGCGACGUGGUGGCUCGACAAGUGUGGGCAACAGCAGUAGGGUCCCCCUUGAAGUGGAGCCUGAUGGCUACAAUUCUGGGGUUGAUGAAGAGAAGCUAUAUUCUGAUGUUAUUCAGAAUUUACGACGGGCACCUCAGACUGAAAAUCAAGAUGAGGCUCACAAUGCAGUCCGUGUGGAUAAUGACGCGAUGGGUGAGGACGAAGACCUUGCAGCUGUUGAAUGGGACCCAUUUGAACCCUCAUAUGGAAGAAGGUACAGUUUUUGCAUCCAUGAAUGA